RNAcentral lists this ribosomal RNA (377 nucleotides) under uncultured bacterium. RNAcentral's name for it is "partial 16S ribosomal RNA". It matches the Rfam family "Bacterial small subunit ribosomal RNA", at positions 338 to 732 of the family's 1533-position model. The record is from RNAcentral.
CCUACGGGCGGCAGCAGUGGGGAAUAUUGCACAAUGGGGGAAACCCUGAUGCAGCGACGCCGCGUGAAGGAAGAAGUAUUUCGGUAUGUAAACUUCUAUCAGCAGGGGAGAAAAUGACGGUACCUGACUCAGAAGCCCCGGCUAACUACGUGACAGAAGCCGCGGGACUACGUAGGGGGCCAGGGUUAUCCGGAUUUACUGGGUGUAAAGGGAGCGUAGGCGGUUUAGCAAGUCAGAAGUGAAAGCCCGGGGAUCAAGACCGGGACUGCUUUUGAAACUGUUGAACGAGAUUGCAGGAGAGGUAAGUGGAAUGCGUGGUGUAGCGGUGAAAUGCGUAGAUAUUAGGAGGAACACCAGUGGCGAAGGCGGCUUACUGG